This is a long non-coding RNA of Vicia villosa (hairy vetch), 284 nucleotides long. RefSeq lists it as uncharacterized. The record is from RefSeq and is a predicted model, not a curated record. The transcript is spliced from 3 exons. NCBI's taxonomy places the organism in Eukaryota, Viridiplantae, Streptophyta, Magnoliopsida, Fabales, Fabaceae.
AAUCAGUUAGACAGUGCUUAGUAGACAGAUUCAUGUCCACCGGCAAUACAGAAUGUCUGCAUCUUUGGGCGUAUAAUACUCGACCAGUAGGAGCACACUGGUUGCUGCUUGCUAUCAACCCUAUAAGGGAAGUCGUGUAUUAUCUGAAUUCGGUAAAUGGUGAAUGGACCAAUUAUCCGGCCAUGAAGGACAUCGUUGAUUUAUCAAUACAAGUGUUCCGAAGUCAACGGGACGCACAGGUAUCCCGAACUAAAUCUAGCAACAUUACUUGGAUCCAAGUGCAG